This 301-nucleotide ribosomal RNA is filed under the name uncultured bacterium. RNAcentral's name for it is "partial 16S ribosomal RNA". It matches the Rfam family "Bacterial small subunit ribosomal RNA", at positions 509 to 807 of the family's 1533-position model. The record is from RNAcentral.
CAGUAGCCACGGUAAUACGGAGGGUGCAAGCGUUAAUCGGAAUUACUGGGCGUAAAGCGUGCGUAGGCGGUUCGUUAAGUCUGUUGUGAAAGCCCCGGGCUCAACCUGGGAAUGGCAAUGGAUACUGGCGAGCUAGAGUGUGUCAGAGGAUGGUGGAAUUCCCGGUGUAGCGGUGAAAUGCGUAGAGAUCGGGAGGAACAUCAGUGGCGAAGGCGGCCAUCUGGGACAACACUGACGCUGAAGCACGAAAGCGUGGGGAGCAAACAGGAUUAGAUACCCCUGUAGUCCCUGUCUCUUAUAC